UUUAUUUGAGAGUUUGAUCCUGGCUCAGGAUGAACGCUGGCGGCGUGCCUAACACAUGCAAGUCGAGCGAUUCUCUUCGGAGAAGAGCGGCGGACGGGUGAGUAACGCGUGGGUAACCUGCCCUGUACACACGGAUAACAUACCGAAAGGUAUGCUAAUACGAGAUAAAGUGCUAUGAAGACAUCUUCGAAGCACCAAAGCUUUAGCGGUACAGGAUGGACCCGCGUCUGAUUAGCUAGUUGGUAAGGUAACGGCUUACCAAGGCGACGAUCAGUAGCCGACCUGAGAGGGUGAUCGGCCACAUUGG
Molecule: ribosomal RNA, 307 nt
Filed under: Romboutsia maritimum
Lineage: Bacteria; Bacillati; Bacillota; Clostridia; Peptostreptococcales; Peptostreptococcaceae
Description: partial 16S ribosomal RNA
Rfam family: Bacterial small subunit ribosomal RNA
Source: RNAcentral